Molecule: ribosomal RNA, 336 nt
Filed under: Pseudoxenodon macrops
Lineage: Eukaryota; Metazoa; Chordata; Lepidosauria; Squamata; Pseudoxenodontidae
Description: partial 12S ribosomal RNA
Source: RNAcentral
AAAGACUUGACGGUACUUCACAUCAACCUAGAGGAGCCUGUCCAAUAACCGAUACCCCACGAUUAACCCUACCUGCCCUAGCCCUANCAGUCUAUAUACCGCCGUCGCCAGCUUACCUUAUGAAAGAAACAAAGUGAGCCCAACAACAACACAUUAACACGACAGGUCGAGGUGUAACUAAUGAGCAGGCCAAAGAUGGGCUACAUUUUCUUAAACAGAAAAUACGAAUNCAACUAUGAAAUUAGAAACCGAAGGCGGAUUUAGCAGUAAGCUAACAAUAAAAUACUUAGCUAAAACUAUAGCAAUGAAGUGCGUACACACCGCCCGUCAUCCCUG